RNAcentral lists this unclassified non-coding RNA (253 nucleotides) under uncultured fungus. RNAcentral describes it as "sequence contains ITS1". The record is from RNAcentral. Lineage: Eukaryota; Fungi.
AAAAGGCGAAACAGUGUCAUGAGAUGCGAAUUUUGAGAAUGAACGAGUAUUUGAACGCACCUUGUACGAAUGAGAGUAAUUCGUAUGUUUGUUUGAGGGUGGUAAUAAAGUGAUUAAGAGAUUUAGUCGAUUGUUGAAGAGAAGAAUGAUUUCUCUCUUUUAAACGAAAUACCUUUUUUACUGGGAUAAUCAAUGAACAGUAAAAAAUUUCACAUUCUACCUCAAAUCAAACAAGAACACCCGCUGAACUUAA